GGGGGAGGUGGCCGUGCAGUUUCUGGCACUAACUCGGGUGUCCUCCUGAAGCCUUAGUUCCGCCGCGAGUAACGGUCCGUGGGAAUUAACAACCUUCGCGCCAGCGAAGAGUCAGUCGUAUGGAUAAGCAGAAUUCGUUGCCACCCAGGUAAGACAAUGAAGCUCCAGAAAGCCCUUGAGAAAUGCACAGAAACUAUCACUGCUCUUUCCUGGAUGAUUAUGUAGAGUUUGGAGGUCAUGAAUCCUUUCUGGUAUCUUGGGUGAAAGCUUACAAAAUGUGCACUGACCUCUGUAGACGUAUUUUCUUUCAACUAAAGAGAAUUGUUGAAUGUUGAGAGAAGAGUCUUCAUAAAAUCUAUGGCUUUUAACAUUUCUUGUUGCUUUCUAUUGUGAAGAUUGUGAACUUUGGAAAAAGGACACUCCGAACAAUUGGGCAAGAACCAUAUUGAGAGCCAGAGAAGGAAUAACUAUCAACAAACGGACAUUCAUGAAGUCAAAACUUGAAUUUGAAACAGACCUUGCCCUAUAUUCUGAAUGAUUAGAACUUUCAGCUAUGUAUUAAAGUAAAUUCAUUUACAAUUGACAAAUUUUGUCCAAUUGUUU
RNAcentral lists this long non-coding RNA (603 nucleotides) under Equus asinus (donkey). RNAcentral's name for it is "lncRNA (ENSEASG00005030960.1)". The record is from RNAcentral. Lineage: Eukaryota; Metazoa; Chordata; Mammalia; Perissodactyla; Equidae.